CUCCCUCUCUCUCCAUGUCCCUCAUUCAUCCUCAUGUCCCCAACUCCCAGAUGGCAGUGACCAGAACUCACCAACCAUUCCAGACCACCUGUCACCACCAAAGGACCAGAGGGUGUCACAUUCCUCAUGGUUUCCUCACAAGCAAUAGAAACAGAAUAGGAAAAUUGUAGGCACAAGAGCAAUGCCUGGAAAGACCCAGAAUCUUCAUGAUGCACCAGGUGCAGUACAUACCAGCAAUUGUCAUUACCGUACGUCGGAGGCUGGCAUCUAUGCUGCAAGUUGCUGUUUGAGAGCUUCAGAGUGGCCCAAUGCUUUGAUAUAACCACAGGAGUCAGAAAUAUUCUCUGAGGGACAGCGUCCUACCCACCUGCAGAUGGAGGUGUUUGAGCAUGCUCACUCAGCUGGAAUGUACGUUUUCUCCCUCGCUCCAGGUGUAGUUAGAUUGCUGAAUAGCACAGUCUGCCAUCUUGACAGGAAGUCACUCAGGAAAGUCUGCCAACUCCUUUGGCAAGAAAGGUCUCUUGGAAGAGUCUGGAUGGAUAGUCAGCAUCUUCAGGAUCAGAAGGAAGUACCCUAUCCUGCAGUGAGCACCUUCCAACGGAACAGUCACUGCAGUGUUUGGACAGGACAUCACUGUCUUGCUCUGGGAAGGAAACAGGGGUGAAGCCCUGCCCUGCACUUGGACCUCUAGGUUAUCUGCCAAGACUUACAUGGUGGAAAGAGCAGACAAUGACAACCAUUACAGCAUAAUAUGACCCCGGUCCUCCUGCUCCACAAACCGUGAGCACGGAGGAGACAUGCAACACCUGUCCGUACCUGCCUAGGUGACAUUGCCUUCCACAUUGCCUUCCACCUCCUCCCUAACUGUAGCCACUGACUCCCCU
Long non-coding RNA from Mus musculus (house mouse), 884 nucleotides. RefSeq annotates it as predicted gene, 32532. The transcript is spliced from 4 exons. NCBI's taxonomy places the organism in Eukaryota, Metazoa, Chordata, Mammalia, Rodentia, Muridae. The record is from RefSeq and is a predicted model, not a curated record.